UACGAAGGGGGCUAGCGUUGCUCGGAAUCACUGGGCGUAAAGGGCGCGUAGGCGGCCAGUAUCAAGUCAGGGGUGAAAGCCUGUGGCUCAACCACAGAAUUGCCUUUGAUACUGUUCGGCUCGAGACCGGAAGAGGUAAGUGGAACUGCGAGUGUAGAGGUGAAAUUCGUAGAUAUUCGCAAGAACACCAGUGGCGAAGGCGGCUUACUGGUCCGGUUCUGACGCUGAGGCGCGAAAGCGUGGGGAGCAAACAGG
This 255-nucleotide ribosomal RNA is filed under the name uncultured bacterium. RNAcentral's name for it is "partial 16S ribosomal RNA". It matches the Rfam family "Bacterial small subunit ribosomal RNA", at positions 524 to 776 of the family's 1533-position model. The record is from RNAcentral.